Triticum dicoccoides is the source of this 460-nucleotide long non-coding RNA. RefSeq lists it as uncharacterized. NCBI's taxonomy places the organism in Eukaryota, Viridiplantae, Streptophyta, Magnoliopsida, Poales, Poaceae. The record is from RefSeq and is a predicted model, not a curated record. The transcript has 3 exons.
GGACGCCAAGGAAGAACGCAAGUUGUUGCCGCCGCCGAAGAUGAAAACUGGUGGUAACUGGUGAUGGAACUCUAUCCUACGCGCAUAGCAGUGAUGGAACAUAGCGUACUUUCACCCUUUUUUCCAGAUCGAGAUGGUGGAGGCAGCCAGUGUCGUGGCCGAGCGCUGGGGAGCUUGUCGGUGUUUUGAUGGAGAAGGCUGGGUCCGAAGGUCCCGAAGUCCUAUGGCAUGAACUGGCCACGGCGCAUCCGGCUGGAUGCACUUGCUCAACACCUUUCCAUCUCUGUACAAUCAGGUAGAUAUUUUCUCACGUGCCAAAUAUUAUUUUUAGGUUGCCAAAUAGUAGUCUAGGAACUAUAGAAAGUGGAUUGCUGAGUUUGCCAAGCAUAAUAGCACACCUAUUAUCAGAUGACCUGAAGAGUAUAUCAAGCAAAGAUGCUUUCAGAUUUAUGCAUGCCUA